Potamilus streckersoni is the source of this 73-nucleotide non-coding RNA. The record is from the annotation of a GenBank genome assembly. Lineage: Eukaryota; Metazoa; Mollusca; Bivalvia; Unionida; Unionidae.
GCUCUGCUGGCCUAGUGAUUAGAGCGUCCACCUCGGAUGCGGGAGGAUGUGGGUUCGAACCCCUGCCGAGUCA